AGCAGAGAGCCCACGGAGGAGCCAAAGGAUCCCCCGGCUGCCCCCCGCCCGGCCCCGCCGGGUUAAUAUACCCCGGGCGGGGCUCCGGAGGGGGCGGCACCCACCUUUUAUUGGGGGCUUAGAAGGCCUUCCCGGAGCCUUGAUUUUUUAAAGAUUUUCUUGGGGAAAUUCUCCACCGCUUUAAACAGUUGAGGGCCGGUUUUAGGGGGUUCCUGGGGAAUUUUAGGGGAGCCCGGGAGGAGGUUAAGGAGGGUACUUCAGGGGGUAGAAGUGAAAUUUUUUUUAAUCCUUGGGGGGCCCCCCCGAUGGUGAAAGGCAUCUUACCAGAAACGGGUUUCGACAGUGAGGCAAUGGAAAGCUGGAGGGAGCGAACCCCGCUUUAGAUACCCCCGGUAGUCCCCAGGCCGUAAAACUAUGCGCCGUGGGGGGGGGGGGGGGACACUACCCAGUUACCGGAAAAGAAGAAAGUGAAAAACGUGAAAACGUGCCGCCUGGGAUGUGCUCCGGGGGGGACAUGAAACUUAAAGGAAAUGGCGGGGGAGCACCACAACGGGUGGAGCCUGCGGUUUAAUUGAAAAAAAAAACCGGGCAGCUCACCGGAUAGGACAGCGGAAUGAUAGCCGGGCUGAAGACCUUGCUUGACCAGCUGAGAGGAGGUGCAUGGCCGUCGUCAGUUCGUACUGUGAAGCAUCCUGGUUAGUCAGGCACCGAGCGAGACCCAUAAUCGGAUCCCUGUCCCGUCUACGCAGAGGCCUCA
This 757-nucleotide ribosomal RNA is filed under the name uncultured archaeon. RNAcentral's name for it is "partial 16S ribosomal RNA". The stretch from base 98 to 757 matches the Rfam family "Archaeal small subunit ribosomal RNA", at positions 1 to 1096 of the family's 1478-position model. The record is from RNAcentral.